This 74-nucleotide transfer RNA is filed under the name Candidatus Zhuqueibacterota bacterium. RNAcentral describes it as "candidate division KSB1 bacterium (activated sludge metagenome) tRNA-Lys". It matches the Rfam family "tRNA". From Rfam's summary of the family: Transfer RNA (tRNA) molecules are approximately 80 nucleotides in length. Their secondary structure includes four short double-helical elements and three loops (D, anti-codon, and T loops). Further hydrogen bonds mediate the characteristic L-shaped molecular structure. tRNAs have two regions of fundamental functional importance: the anti-codon, which is responsible for specific mRNA codon recognition, and the 3' end, to which the tRNAs corresponding amino acid is attached (by aminoacyl-tRNA synthetases). tRNAs cope with the degeneracy of the genetic code in two manners: having more than one tRNA (with a specific anti-codon) for a particular amino acid; and 'wobble' base-pairing, i.e. permitting non-standard base-pairing at the 3rd anti-codon position. The record is from RNAcentral. Lineage: Bacteria; Pseudomonadati. RNAcentral also lists the same sequence under 2 other names.
GAGGGUAUAGCUCAGCUUGGUAGAGCAGCGGACUUUUAAUCCGUUGGUCGAAGGUUCGAAUCCUUCUACCCUCA